AUCAAAGCCAAGUUAUGAUUACCAUUAAUUAGUAAUUAGUUUUGUGCGUUAUAAGUAUAGGUAUUAUUACUGUGAAUUCUAGUGUGUUUUCUGUUUCCACAACCUCUAACGGAUCUAUACAGCUAUAGAAGUCCCACAAGGGGAACUACCCAAGUGUAACACUCACUUAUUAAUGAAACUUUGCCACCUUGCAGAGCACGACGAACUGAACACGCCUCUACCCUAUUAAGGGAGCAGACGGCUAAUUGUUUAAAAGAUAUUAACAAUUAAAGUUAAUUACUCCUUACAUUGAGAAGUAUGACAAACUUACACAUACAAACGGUUAGCUCCGCGGUAAAACGCACUACCCACAAUCUAAAGGUCCACGGUUCAAAUCCAUGGUCCUCAACUUUUAUUUUUAAAUUAUAAUUUGUAUCUUUUUGAAUAACUAUUACAGCUGUGCUAUAAUCAUUGCAUUUAUUAAUAAUUAAUUAGAUACGCUGCAAUAUUUAUAGAAUUUAAGUGAUGCUUUCUAUCCAGUACGGACAUUUCCAUCGUUACUGCAUUCGAAAUUUACAAGCGUUUAUUUGUUACUACACACACAACCUAUUAUUUUUUACAAGUUCAAUUUACUCAAAAAGGGUAUAUUCAUUUAUACUACCGUGCCAAUUUAUAAUUCAUAUUUACAAGUAUUUACAAGUAGUUACAGUAAUAUGUGGUUAUUUAUAGUUAUUCAAAAAGAGACAAAUUAUAAUUGAUAAAACAAAAAGCGGUGAACCAUGGAUUUGAACCUUGGACCUUUAGAUUGCGAGUUAUACGUUUUACCGGAUAGUUAACCCCAGUAGCCAUCUACAAGGUCGCAAAGUUUCAUUAAUAAGUGAGUGUUACACUUGAGUAGUUCCUCUUGCCAAUAAGAACAAACUGAAGAAUGAAUCGCUUAUUUCAUGAAGCAAAUACGGUCAGAGAAAUAUGUAUAACUUUUGACAGGUAUAGGUUAGAGUUAAUCACAUCUUGAAAGUACUUAUUAAAAUAUUACAAGUAGAAUCAACCGCAUAUUGCAUGAAAUAGAAUGCAAGAUGGAAUAAUGUUGCCCAGUAAUAAAUACAUGCAAGUUUAUUUGAGUUUAUUAGGACUUUAUAUGCUGUUGACAAUACAGCAUAGCAUGGUACGUACAUUCAUAUGUACUUUUGGCUACUCUUUCUAAAGUAACAUGUAACUUUUUAUAUCAAUAAAAAGAGCAUGUAAUAAAGGCGUUUCAAUAAUAGAGUAUGACAAUCAAAAUCAAAAUGGGGGUAUAUUUGUCAUUAUUUGGUCAUUAAUUUGGUGGAUUCCAAAUAUAGGUGCAGUUGAAUAUAAUCUAUCAAUAUAUAAUAAUAUGACUUCUUCUUCUUUUUAUAUAUUUUCAGCAUCUGUUCAGACAUUGAUGGGGAAAUUACAACCAAAAAAUUAUAAAGCAGAACAAUUAAAUAAAUACAUUAAAGAAAUUAACCAGCAUAGAAUGAAAUACUAGGACGAAUAUAGAAAAUGGAUGAAAUUACUUUGUCGCAAGAUAUAUCUGGAAAUAUGUUUAAGCAUUUAUUCAGACAUUGAUGAGGAAAUUACAACAAAGAAUUUAGCGAGUAGAAAAAUUUGAUACAUACAGUGAACAAAUUAUCCAAAGAAGAGGAUUAUUAAAUUAGAUAAGUUUGUCUUCCAAAUCAUGGACUAUAAAAACAAUGUAAUGCCAGCAUAUUUUAAGUAAAUAAAUUAAUUGUUGAAAAUGAGA
Osmia lignaria (orchard mason bee) is the source of this 1744-nucleotide non-coding RNA. The record is from RefSeq and is a predicted model, not a curated record. NCBI's taxonomy places the organism in Eukaryota, Metazoa, Arthropoda, Insecta, Hymenoptera, Megachilidae.